Non-coding RNA from Phrynosoma platyrhinos (Desert horned lizard), 74 nucleotides. NCBI's taxonomy places the organism in Eukaryota, Metazoa, Chordata, Lepidosauria, Squamata, Phrynosomatidae. The record is from the annotation of a GenBank genome assembly.
GCCAAUGUGGGUCAAUGGUUUGAGAGUUAUAAAUAAAAACUCUGCAGACCAGGGUUCGAAUCCCGGCUCAGCUA